This 28-nucleotide small RNA is filed under the name Bombyx mori (domestic silkworm). Its description in RNAcentral is "ovarian small RNA-19880". Lineage: Eukaryota; Metazoa; Arthropoda; Insecta; Lepidoptera; Bombycidae. The record is from RNAcentral.
UAAUUAUAGGUUAUGGCAGCAGGUGGGC